UAAACGACUCUCGGCAACGGAUAUCUCGGCUCUCGCAUCGAUGAAGAACGUAGCGAAAUGCGAUACUUGGUGUGAAUUGGAGAAUCCCGUGAACCAUCGAGUCUUUGAACGCAAGUUGCGCCCGAAGCCAUCGAGCCUGGGCGUCACAC
RNAcentral lists this ribosomal RNA (149 nucleotides) under Rubus dollnensis. RNAcentral describes it as "5.8S ribosomal RNA". It matches the Rfam family "5.8S ribosomal RNA". From Rfam's summary of the family: 5.8S ribosomal RNA (5.8S rRNA) is a component of the large subunit of the eukaryotic ribosome. Lineage: Eukaryota; Viridiplantae; Streptophyta; Magnoliopsida; Rosales; Rosaceae. The record is from RNAcentral. RNAcentral also lists the same sequence under 1 other name.